This 468-nucleotide ribosomal RNA is filed under the name uncultured bacterium. RNAcentral's name for it is "bacterial SSU rRNA". It matches the Rfam family "Bacterial small subunit ribosomal RNA", at positions 28 to 472 of the family's 1533-position model. The record is from RNAcentral.
GACGAACGCNGGCGGCGUGCUUAACACAUGCAAGUCGAACGGGAACCUUUAUUUCGGUAAAGAUGAGAGUGGCAAACGGGUGAGUAACACGUAGGCAACCUGCCGACAGGAUGGGGACAACAUUCCGAAAGGAAUGCUAAUACCGAAUGGAGUCCGAGGAUGGCAUCAUCCUUGGGUAAAAGAUGGCCUCUUAACAAUGCUAUCGCCUGUCGAUGGGCCUGCGUCUGAUUAGCCAGUUGGCGGGGUAACGGCCCACCAAAGCGACGAUCAGUAGCCGGUCUGAGAGGAUGAACGGCCACAUUGGGACUGAGACACGGCCCAGACUCCUACGGGAGGCAGCAGUGGGGAAUCUUCCACAAUGGGCGAAAGCCUGAUGGAGCAACGCCGCGUGAGUGAAGAAGGUCUUCGGAUCGUAAAGCUCUGUUGCACGGGACGAAAACUGGGUUUGAGAACAUUGAACCUGGGNGA